This 576-nucleotide ribosomal RNA is filed under the name uncultured eukaryote. RNAcentral's name for it is "bacterial SSU rRNA". The stretch from base 1 to 453 matches the Rfam family "Eukaryotic small subunit ribosomal RNA", at positions 174 to 597 of the family's 1831-position model. The record is from RNAcentral.
UAAAAACCCCGACUUCGGAAGGGGUGUAUUUAUUAGAUACAAAACCAAUGCCCUUCGGGGCUCUUUGGUGAUUCAUGAUAACUAUACGAAUCGCACGGCCUUGCGCCGGCGAUGGUUCAUUCAAAUUUCUUCCCUAUCAACUUUCGAUGUUUGGGUAUUGGCCAAACAUGGUUGCAACGGGUAACGGAGGGUUAGGGCUCGACCCCGGAGAAGGAGCCUGAGAAACGGCUACUACAUCCAAGGAAGGCAGCAGGCGCGCAAAUUACCCAAUCCCGACUCGGGGAGGUAGUGAGGAUAAAUACUGAUACAGGGCCCUGUCGGGCGUUGUAAUAGGAGGGAGGAAAUUAAAACGGGGGUAAUAACGAUAAAUUUGGAUAGGGGAAGGGUUCUGGCGUCAACGGCGCGGCAAGGGCGAGGGAGUGAAGACGGACUUGGAUGAGGGACGUACAGUAGAGGAGAAGGAGGUGGGGGGAAGUGGGGUAUUGCCGAUUUGCGAUGAACAGCAGCAAUGGGAGAUCAAGGCACUAACGUCUGGGGGGGAGGCACGACCCAGUAGUGGUAGGGUGGUGGUAAAGA